Non-coding RNA from Notechis scutatus (mainland tiger snake), 126 nucleotides. The record is from RefSeq and is a predicted model, not a curated record. Lineage: Eukaryota; Metazoa; Chordata; Lepidosauria; Squamata; Elapidae.
GUGUAGAGUCUCCUGCUUGAGCAGGGGUUGGACUAGAAGACCUCCAAGGUCCCUUCCAACUCUGUUCUAUUCUGUUUAGUUGAGGACAAGCAGGUUAAGGAGAAAUUUUAAUGGAGAAAAUAUGUA